AAUAUUGACAGGCUCAAGAAAGACCUGAGCUGAUCUUAUUCAACAUGGACAGAUGCUUUCUACUCAUUGUUAUUAUGGGAACAGGUUUGGUGUCCGGGGACAGUAUUGAGCCAGAUAAAGAGAAAAAUGUUAUCACAAAAGAAACAGAAACUGUCAAGCUGAGUUGCUCGUACAGUACAACCAGAAAUGAAGUUCGUCUUUUCUGGUUCAGACAAUAUCUGCAUGGAGAACCUUUGUUUUUAACAUACAGAGGUGCUCGAUCUUGGAAAAACACAUACACCGCUGAUGCUCGGUUUCAGUCUGUUACAUCAAAUACAUCCACUGAACUCUCUAUAACUGAUGUACGUCUGUCAGAUUCAGCUCAUUAUUACUGUGCUUUAUUAGUAGGAGCCCAGUGA
This is a non-coding RNA of Carassius auratus (goldfish), 398 nucleotides long. NCBI's taxonomy places the organism in Eukaryota, Metazoa, Chordata, Actinopteri, Cypriniformes, Cyprinidae. The record is from the annotation of a RefSeq genome assembly.